Molecule: ribosomal RNA, 253 nt
Filed under: uncultured bacterium
Lineage: Bacteria
Description: partial 16S ribosomal RNA
Rfam family: Bacterial small subunit ribosomal RNA
Source: RNAcentral
GACAGAGGGUGCAACCGUUGUUCGGAAUUACUGGGCGUAAAGCGCGUGUAGGCGGCUAAGUAAGUCGGGCGUGAAAUCCCACGGCUCAACCGUGGAAGUGCACUCGAAACUGCAUAGCUAGAGUCCUGGAGAGGAAGGUGGAAUGCUUGGUGUAGAGGUGAAAUUCGUAGAUAUCAAGCGGGACACCGGUGGCGAAGGCGGCCUUCUGGACAGUGACUGACGCUGAGACGCGAAAGCGUGGGGAGCAAACAGG